GAUGAAGAACGCAGCGAAAUGCGAUAAGUAAUGUGAAUUGCAGAAUUCAGUUAAUCAUCGAAUCUUUGAACGCACAUUGCGCCCUCCGGCAUUCCGGGGGGCAUGCCUGUCCGAGCGUCACGAAAACCCCAUCACACUCGUUGUGGUCAUGGCUGCAGUGAGUCGUCUCCAGCGGAGAGGGUCACGCCGCUGAAAGGAAUGGUGCGGAUGAGUUCCGAUGGCCGAACGUAGUACUUGACAACCGUCGGCCGAUGGGACCCUCCAUCUCGCCCUGACGACGUACCCCCGUCGUACCCCCGAUCAGGUGGACCUCGGAUCAGGUAGGGAUACCCGCUGAACUUAAGCAUAUCAAUAAGCGGAGGA
This 363-nucleotide unclassified non-coding RNA is filed under the name soil metagenome. RNAcentral's name for it is "partial contains 5.8S ribosomal RNA, internal transcribed spacer 2, and large subunit ribosomal RNA". The stretch from base 1 to 120 matches the Rfam family "5.8S ribosomal RNA", at positions 35 to 154 of the family's 154-position model. The record is from RNAcentral.